AGCAGUAGCCGCGGGAAUACGUAGGUGGCAAGCGUUGUCCGGAAUUAUUGGGCGUAAAGGGCUCGCAGGCGGUUUCUUAAGUCUGAUGUGAAAGCCCCCGGCUCAACCGGGGAGGGUCAUUGGAAACUGGGAAACUUGAGUGCAGAAGAGGAGAGUGGAAUUCCACGUGUAGCGGUGAAAUGCGUAGAGAUUAGGAGGAACACCAGUGGCGAAAGCGGCUCUCUGGUCUGUAACUGACGCUGAGGCUCGAAAGCGUGGGGAGCGAACAGGAUUAGAUACCCCAGUAGUCCCUGUCUCUUAUAC
Molecule: ribosomal RNA, 303 nt
Filed under: uncultured bacterium
Lineage: Bacteria
Description: partial 16S ribosomal RNA
Rfam family: Bacterial small subunit ribosomal RNA
Source: RNAcentral